This is a long non-coding RNA of Ostrinia nubilalis (European corn borer), 576 nucleotides long. RefSeq lists it as uncharacterized. The record is from RefSeq and is a predicted model, not a curated record. NCBI's taxonomy places the organism in Eukaryota, Metazoa, Arthropoda, Insecta, Lepidoptera, Crambidae. The transcript is spliced from 3 exons.
AGUGUGGAAUGAAGCAUGCAUUGAAGACCGCGUGCUGCCACGCAAUAAAAACGUGAUUUCAUCUUUGGAAUUGGAUUCCUGAUUUUGAUUGAAGAAAGCACAGGAAGAAAGUGAUUCAUAGACACACUAUAUAAAGGUCAAACCAGAAAAUAAAAUAAAGUAAAGCAGGCCCGAGACGACGCCAAACGAAGUGCUUGGCGUUUUGAUUCCCACUCAUUGCCUUGGUUUUUGGGCAUGAAGUGCAAGUAACUUGGAUGCACUCAUGCGCAGGGAGGGCCCCGAGAAUGAAAAUGGGGAAUAGAAAUGGGAAUGGUGGCAACUUUGAAUGAACCCAGCGCUUUAUGAUCAUGAUCACGGCCUCCGUCCAUCAUUUUACUGCGGCUUACCGGCGCCAGGACGCCCUGAUAGGUCUCCUACGCUUGCCGCGCAUGACCCGCUGGGCGCGCAGAGGAGGAGGCAGGUCGUUCCAGCACCGGGACGACGCAAAUCUGAAUGAUCCGCGAAAAGCUGCUGUGCGAUGUUUGGGUGUAGCAAAUAUGUGAGUGCAUAGCCUCUUUGGAUAUCUACUCUGAGCUU